Non-coding RNA from Dermochelys coriacea (leatherback sea turtle), 586 nucleotides. NCBI's taxonomy places the organism in Eukaryota, Metazoa, Chordata, Testudines, Dermochelyidae. The record is from the annotation of a RefSeq genome assembly.
GAUCUCCGGGACCCUGCAGCGUGAGAAGGGAGGAGGGACAAGUCCGGGUGUCGGUGCAGAUCCCACCAGGAAACCCUCCAGCAUCAGCAACAUGAGACUGUGGCUGACCCUCGCUUUCUUACUAGCAGCCCUUCCAGGUGUCCGGUCACAGGUCCAGCUGGUGGAGUCCGGAGGGGGGAUUGAAACCCCUGGGGGAUCUCUCCGCCUCUCCUGCAAAACCUCCGGCUUCACCUUCAGCAGCUACUUCAUGGCCUGGGUCCGUCAGGCUCCCGGCAAAGGACUGGAGUGGGUCGCCGACAUACGCAACCCUUCUUCUAGUUCAGCCACAUAUUACAGUGAUGCGGUUAAAGGGCGAUUCACCAUCUCCAGAGACGAGUCCAGCAGCACGGUGUGUCUGCAAAUGAACAGCCUGAAAGCCGAAGACACCGCCCGGUAUCACUGUGCGAGAGACACAGACAUCAGAAACCUCCUGCGGUUAGCACAGAAACCUCCAGCGCGAAUCCCCCUCCCGCUCCGUGCCCACAGUCACGGCUGGAACAGAGCCGUUCAGACAGGAACCCAGAGCGUGAAGCCUCCAGUCCUUUAG